This 443-nucleotide ribosomal RNA is filed under the name uncultured bacterium. RNAcentral describes it as "partial 16S ribosomal RNA". It matches the Rfam family "Bacterial small subunit ribosomal RNA", at positions 338 to 795 of the family's 1533-position model. The record is from RNAcentral.
CCUACGGGUGGCAGCAGUGGGGAAUAUUGGGCAAUGGGCGCAAGCCUGACCCAGCAACGCCGCGUGAAGGAAGAAGGCUUUCGGGUUGUAAACUUCUAUUCUGAGGGACGAAGAAAGUGACGGUACCUCAGGAAUAAGCCACGGCUAACUACGUGCCAGCAGCCGCGGUAAGACGUAGGGGGCAAUCGUGAUCCGGAUUUAUUGGGUGGAAAGGGCGUGUAGGCGGGAAAGCAAGGCAGAUGUGAAACCUCAGGGCCCAACCCUGAGACUGCAUUUGAAACUGUGUUUCUUGAGUGCUGGAGAGGCAAUCGGAAUUCCGUGUGUAGCGGUGAAAUGCGUAGAUAUACGGAGGAACACCAGCGGCGAAGGCGGAUUGCUGGACAGUAACUGACGCUGAGGCGCGAAAGCGUGGGGAGCAAACAGGAUUAGAUACCCCUGUAGUC